AACACUUGGAAACAGGUGCUAAUACCGCAUAACCAUAGUUACCGCAUGGUAACUAUGUAAAAGGUGGCUAUGCUACCGCUUUUGGAUGGGCCCGCGGCGCAUUAGCUAGUUGGUGGGGUAAAGGCUUACCAAGGCAAUGAUGCGUAGCCGAACUGAGAGGUUGAUCGGCCACAUUGGGACUGAGACACGGCCCAAACUCCUACGGGAGGCAGCAGUAGGGAAUCUUCCACAAUGGGCGAAAGCCUGAUGGAGCAACGCCGCGUGGGUGAAGAAGGUCUUCGGAUCGUAAAACCCUGUUGUUAGAGAAGAAAGUGCGUGAGAGUAACUGUUCACGUUUCGACGGUAUCUAACCAGAAAGCCACGGCUAACUACGUGCCAGCAGCCGCGGUAAUACGUAGGUGGCAAGCGUUAUCCGGAUUUAUUGGGCGUAAAGGGAACGCAGGCGGUCUUUUAAGUCUGAUGUGAAAGCCUUCGGCUUAACCGGAGUAGUGCAUUGGAAACUGGGAGACUUGAGUGCAGAAGAGGAAAGUGGAACUCCAUGUGUAGCGGUGAAAUGCGUAUAUAUAUGGAAGAACACCAGUGGCGAAAGCGGCUCUCUGGUCUGUAACUG
Molecule: ribosomal RNA, 610 nt
Filed under: uncultured bacterium
Lineage: Bacteria
Description: bacterial SSU rRNA
Rfam family: Bacterial small subunit ribosomal RNA
Source: RNAcentral